Molecule: ribosomal RNA, 254 nt
Filed under: uncultured bacterium
Lineage: Bacteria
Description: partial 16S ribosomal RNA
Rfam family: Bacterial small subunit ribosomal RNA
Source: RNAcentral
GACAGAGGUGCCGAGCGUUAGGCGGAAUCACUGGGCUUAAAGCGUGUGUAGGCGGAUCGUUAAGUGCCUUGUGAAAUCCCACGGCCACGUACGGUGAACUGCUUGGCAUACUGGCGAUCUUGAGCCACUUAGGGGCUACCGGAACAAAUGGUGGAGCGGUGAAAUGCGUAGAUAUCAUUUGGAACGCCAAUGGUGAAAACAGGUAGCUGGGAGUGUGCUGACGCUGAGACACGAAAGCCAGGGGAGCAAACGGG